UACGUAGGUGGCAAGCGUUGUCCGGAAUUAUUGGGCGUAAAGAGCUCGUAGGCGGUCUGUUGCGUCCGCUGUGAAAACUCGGGGCUUAACCCCGAGCCUGCAGUGGAUACGGGCAGGCUAGAGUGUGGUAGGGGAGAUCGGAAUUCCUGGUGUAGCGGUGAAAUGCGCAGAUAUCAGGAGGAACACCGGUGGCGAAGGCGGAUCUCUGGGCCAUUACUGACGCUGAGGAGCGAAAGCGUGGGGAGCGAACAGG
RNAcentral lists this ribosomal RNA (253 nucleotides) under uncultured bacterium. Its description in RNAcentral is "partial 16S ribosomal RNA". It matches the Rfam family "Bacterial small subunit ribosomal RNA", at positions 524 to 776 of the family's 1533-position model. The record is from RNAcentral.